RNAcentral lists this long non-coding RNA (223 nucleotides) under Spirodela polyrhiza (greater duckweed). RNAcentral's name for it is "long non-coding RNA (SPOL_LNC000188)". Lineage: Eukaryota; Viridiplantae; Streptophyta; Magnoliopsida; Alismatales; Araceae. The record is from RNAcentral.
UCUUCCUCAACCUCGUCUUCUGCGGUCAGGUCUCCGGUUGCUCCCCGCCUGCCGCCGCGGGGAUUGGUGUCUCCAUCAGGCGGCGCUACUCUCCGCUUCACAGUUGGAGGACCGCGGCGAAAACUAUCCCACUCUCCCACAGGCCACUCGAAAGCCGGACUCCUCCUUCCGCGCCGUUUCACCGCCUUCUCUCCGCCGUCUCCUCCUCUUCCCCAAAUCCUCG